RNAcentral lists this transfer RNA (48 nucleotides) under Synergistaceae bacterium. Its description in RNAcentral is "tRNA-Ser". Lineage: Bacteria; Thermotogati; Synergistota; Synergistia; Synergistales; Synergistaceae. The record is from RNAcentral.
UGAAUGGCAUUCAAGAGGUCAGGGGUUCGAAUCCCCUAAGCUCCACCA